This 668-nucleotide ribosomal RNA is filed under the name Bradyrhizobiaceae bacterium D182b. RNAcentral describes it as "bacterial SSU rRNA". It matches the Rfam family "Bacterial small subunit ribosomal RNA", at positions 32 to 744 of the family's 1533-position model. The record is from RNAcentral. Lineage: Bacteria; Pseudomonadati; Pseudomonadota; Alphaproteobacteria; Hyphomicrobiales; Nitrobacteraceae.
AACGCUGGCGGCAGGCUUAACACAUGCAAGUCGAGCGGGCGUAGCAAUACGUCAGCGGCAGACGGGUGAGUAACGCGUGGGAACGUACCUUUUGGUUCGGAACAACACAGGGAAACUUGUGCUAAUACCGGAUAAGCCCUUACGGGGAAAGAUUUAUCGCCGAAAGAUCGGCCCGCGUCUGAUUAGCUAGUUGGUGAGGUAAUGGCUCACCAAGGCGACGAUCAGUAGCUGGUCUGAGAGGAUGAUCAGCCACAUUGGGACUGAGACACGGCCCAAACUCCUACGGGAGGCAGCAGUGGGGAAUAUUGGACAAUGGGGGCAACCCUGAUCCAGCCAUGCCGCGUGAGUGAUGAAGGCCCUAGGGUUGUAAAGCUCUUUUGUGCGGGAAGAUAAUGACGGUACCGCAAGAAUAAGCCCCGGCUAACUUCGUGCCAGCAGCCGCGGUAAUACGAAGGGGGCUAGCGUUGCUCGGAAUCACUGGGCGUAAAGGGUGCGUAGGCGGGUCUUUAAGUCAGGGGUGAAAUCCUGGAGCUCAACUCCAGAACUGCCUUUGAUACUGAGGAUCUUGAGUUCGGGAGAGGUGAGUGGAACUGCGAGUGUAGAGGUGAAAUUCGUAGAUAUUCGCAAGAACACCAGUGGCGAAGGCGGCUCACUGGCCCGAUACUGAC